Molecule: ribosomal RNA, 467 nt
Filed under: uncultured bacterium
Lineage: Bacteria
Description: SSU rRNA
Rfam family: Bacterial small subunit ribosomal RNA
Source: RNAcentral
AGAAUCAACGCUGGCGGCGUGCCUAACACAUGCAAGUCGCACGAGAAAGGGACUUCGGUCCUGAGUACAGUGGCGCACGGGUGAGUAACACGUGAAUAAUCUACCUCCGAGUGGGGAAUAACUGAGAGAAAUCUUAGCUAAUACCGCAUAACACUUACGAGUCAAAGCAGCAAUGCGCUUGGAGAGGAGUUCGCGGCAGAUUAGUUAGUUGGCGGGGUAAUGGCCCACCAAGACGAUGAUCUGUAUCCGGCCUGAGAGGGGCGCGACGGAACGACGACUGGAACGUGAAACACGGUCCAGACUCCUACGGGAGGCAGCAGUGGGGAAUUUUGCGCAAUGGGGGAAACCCUGACGCAGCAACGCCGCGUGGAGGAUGAAAUCCCUUGGGAUGUAAACUCCUUUCGAUAGGGAAGAUAAUGACGGUACCUAUAGAAGAAGCCCCGGCUAACUUCGUGCCUAGCAGCCGC